This 1075-nucleotide ribosomal RNA is filed under the name Triticum aestivum (bread wheat). Its description in RNAcentral is "partial small subunit ribosomal RNA". Lineage: Eukaryota; Viridiplantae; Streptophyta; Magnoliopsida; Poales; Poaceae. The record is from RNAcentral.
UAAACCUGUGGUCACGAGCAGAGUCUCAGAAGGAGCUGGGCCUGGAGAGACAAGUGGCGUGUGCUAAUCGUCCCCGUCGCCGCUCCUUCUACUGCUGCUGCUGCUGCUGCUGUUCCUUCUCUGGGAACUGCCAGGGACUCUACCGCGACUCCCACACGCACUAGGGGGAGCGGAACCGGAGGGACACCCUCUACCGGUGGUUGUUCGUUCGGCUACUGUGGAUGCCCCUCUAGUCGAAGAGGUUGGAGAGGCCGAAGUUCAGUCGGACGUAUUGGAACAGGGGAAAAAACAAAGACUUAAGACGAGGACAAUACGCGUUAAAGGAACAAAUUAAAGGAUUCGGUAUAUAUUGAAGCCUACACGAGAUUUGUUUGUUCACACAGUUCAGCGUGGUUCUGGUCAAUAGCGGUUACCUAAUCCGAUAACUAAUGAAUCCGAUUAAAAACGAAAGAGGGUCCAUAAAUCAAAAGUAAUUGCGACAGUGACGGCGGAUAAGGCACCAGAGGUAGGACUACAGUAGGAAGUUCAGGGAGCGAGCGAUGCUAACCGAGUAAAAGGAGGACCUAGUCCGCCGCCGCAUGGACGACCACUGUAGCACGAGCCGCCGCCGCCUCGACCACAUGGACCGUUCCCUCCCGCUGGCCCUCCACAGCACCCCGCUCCACACGAGGAUGAAGCCAACCAAGACGCCGUCCCGGUGGCACAGGCACCGCGACGUCCGGCGGCGCGACGAGACGAAGCAGCGCGAGAGGGAGCAGAGGCGGAAGGCCCAGAAGGCGCUCAAGCUGCGGGGACCACGAGUACAACUAACGAGCCCCCUGAGACUGAGGUUCGUCCGCGUUCUCGUUCCUGCUUCCAUCUCCUACUAGGUACUACUUGUUAGCGACUAUAAACCUGGUAGCAAGCAAAUACACAGUUACCAACCGCUACCGCUACGCAGGAACCAAAAGAAAUGCUUACGACAAAAGCCCUCCUCUUUACAACACUUUAUUUGAUAUAACAACAAUCUUUUUUCAACUCCAACACACGGUGUGUGAACUAACUAGUACACGUUCACGUGCAUAUGUCUAUGUUC